Molecule: ribosomal RNA, 441 nt
Filed under: uncultured bacterium
Lineage: Bacteria
Description: partial 16S ribosomal RNA
Rfam family: Bacterial small subunit ribosomal RNA
Source: RNAcentral
CUACGGGUGGCUGCAGUAAGGAAUCUUCCGCAAUGGGCGAAAGCCUGACGGAGCGACACCGCGUGGAGGACGAAGGCCUUUUGGUUGUAAACUCCUUUUCUGGGGGAAUAAAUGAUGAAGGUACCCCAGGAAUAAGCACCGGCUAACUACGUGCCAGCAGCCGCGGUAAUACGUAGGGUGCAAGCGUUAUCCGGAAUCAUUGGGCGUAAAGCGUUCGUAGGUGGUUUAGAAAGUUUGUAGUUAAAUCUGGUCGCUCAACGAUCAAUUUGUUACAAAAACUCCUAAACUGGAGAUUGGCAGAGGCAACUGGAAUUCCACAUGUAGGGGUAAAAUCCGUUGAUAUGUGGAGGAACACCAAAAGCGAAGGCAGGUUGCUGGGCCAUUUCUGACGCUGAGGAACGAAAGCGUGGGGAGCAAACAGGAUUAGAUACCCCUGUAGUC